CGGGGAGUAGUAUAAUGGUAGAAUACGCGCAUGGGGUGCGUGUGGUGGGAGUUCGAUUCUCCCCUCCCCGACAA
RNAcentral lists this transfer RNA (74 nucleotides) under Candidatus Roizmanbacteria bacterium RIFCSPHIGHO2_02_FULL_40_9. Its description in RNAcentral is "tRNA-Pro". It matches the Rfam family "tRNA". Rfam says of the family: Transfer RNA (tRNA) molecules are approximately 80 nucleotides in length. Their secondary structure includes four short double-helical elements and three loops (D, anti-codon, and T loops). Further hydrogen bonds mediate the characteristic L-shaped molecular structure. tRNAs have two regions of fundamental functional importance: the anti-codon, which is responsible for specific mRNA codon recognition, and the 3' end, to which the tRNAs corresponding amino acid is attached (by aminoacyl-tRNA synthetases). tRNAs cope with the degeneracy of the genetic code in two manners: having more than one tRNA (with a specific anti-codon) for a particular amino acid; and 'wobble' base-pairing, i.e. permitting non-standard base-pairing at the 3rd anti-codon position. Lineage: Bacteria; Candidatus Roizmaniibacteriota. The record is from RNAcentral.